CUUCAGUUCAUUGGGAUCUGACCUACUCUGAAUAACAUGUUUUGAUCCAGCAUGAGCUAAGACAACUUUAAUGAGGUCAGAGGCUUUUUGAAGCAUCCAGAAGACCACAGGAAUUUCGAGAGUGAAGCUGAAUGAAACCAUGGAAAU
This is a long non-coding RNA of Calidris pugnax (ruff), 147 nucleotides long. RefSeq lists it as uncharacterized. The record is from RefSeq and is a predicted model, not a curated record. The transcript is spliced from 3 exons. NCBI's taxonomy places the organism in Eukaryota, Metazoa, Chordata, Aves, Charadriiformes, Scolopacidae.